Molecule: ribosomal RNA, 107 nt
Filed under: Escherichia coli
Lineage: Bacteria; Pseudomonadati; Pseudomonadota; Gammaproteobacteria; Enterobacterales; Enterobacteriaceae
Also listed under: 1 other name
Source: RNAcentral
CCUGGCGGCCUUAGCGCGGUGGUCCCACCUGACCCCAUGCCGAACUCAGAAGUGAAACGCCGUAGCGCCGAUGGUAGUGUGGGGUCUCCCCAUGCGAGAGUAGGGAA